RNAcentral lists this ribosomal RNA (289 nucleotides) under uncultured Elioraea sp. Its description in RNAcentral is "partial 16S ribosomal RNA". It matches the Rfam family "Bacterial small subunit ribosomal RNA", at positions 218 to 525 of the family's 1533-position model. Lineage: Bacteria; Pseudomonadati; Pseudomonadota; Alphaproteobacteria; Acetobacterales; Elioraeaceae. The record is from RNAcentral.
GCCCGGGAGGGGCCCGCGUCCGAUUAGCUGGUUGGUGGGGUAACGGCCCACCAAGGCUCUGAUCGGUAGCUGUCUGAGAGGACGAUCAGCCACACUGGGACUGAGACACGGCCCAGACUCCUACGGGAGGCAGCAGUGGGGAAUCUUGGACAAUGGGCGAAAGCCUGAUCCAGCGACGCCGCGUGGGUGAUGAAGGCCUUCGGGUUGUAAAGCCCUUUCGACGGGGACGAUGAUGACGGUACCCGGCGAAGAAGCACCGGCUAACUCCGUGCCAGCAGCCGCGGUAAUA